RNAcentral lists this small RNA (165 nucleotides) under bovine gut metagenome. RNAcentral's name for it is "Bacteroidales-1 6S-Bacteroidales RNA suggested". It matches the Rfam family "Bacteroidales-1 6S-Bacteroidales RNA suggested". The record is from RNAcentral. RNAcentral also lists the same sequence under 1 other name.
GCGUACUGGUUAGAUCGGGAUACUCAUCAAUUUACAUUUUAUUACCGAGAACUGUUUCGUAUGCUAAUGGCGUGCCAUCCCACAUGUGGUUAGAUGGAUUACAAAGGCAGCGAACCCUCAAAACCUGUUUUUCGGAGUUUCAUCACAUCACCAGUGCGCCCUUUU